AUGAGCUUGAAAAGCAUAUAUUUUGAAAAUAUAAGAAAGAAUUAAAAUUCUAUUGAUUUGUACU
Molecule: transfer RNA, 64 nt
Filed under: Hippodamia convergens (convergent lady beetle)
Lineage: Eukaryota; Metazoa; Arthropoda; Insecta; Coleoptera; Coccinellidae
Description: tRNA-Ser
Source: RNAcentral